RNAcentral lists this unclassified non-coding RNA (442 nucleotides) under uncultured Chytridiomycetes. Its description in RNAcentral is "sequence contains ITS2". The stretch from base 1 to 153 matches the Rfam family "5.8S ribosomal RNA". The record is from RNAcentral. Lineage: Eukaryota; Fungi; Chytridiomycota; Chytridiomycetes.
AACUUUUAGCAAUGGAUCACUUGGUUCUCGCAACGAUGAAGAACGCAGCGAAAUGCGAUAAGUAAUGUGAAUUGCAGAUUUUCGUGAAUCAUUAAAUCUUUGAACGCACCUUGCGCCCUCUGGUAUCCCGGGGGCAUAUCUGUUUGAGAAUCAGUUUAACCCUCACAACCCGGAUUGUGUAAACAUGAACGGAAGUGGAUUUGAGACAUCUCUAGCUUGCUAGAGUGACUUUAAACUGAUACCCGCCUUUGGAGUAUUAGUACGCAAGUUUAAAGGCAAUAUUGCUGAGCAGUUAGCUGUUCUUUAUUUUGCUUAGUCGGCUUACAUAUGAAUCUUCAAGACGGUAGGGACAACCAAAUACGAAAGCUUCGUGCUUUUAAGACUUGGUCUCAAAUCAGAUAAGACUACCCGCUGAACUUAAGCAUAUCAAUAAGCGGAGGCU